RNAcentral lists this long non-coding RNA (261 nucleotides) under Nicotiana benthamiana. Its description in RNAcentral is "long non-coding RNA (NBEN_LNC035296)". The record is from RNAcentral. Lineage: Eukaryota; Viridiplantae; Streptophyta; Magnoliopsida; Solanales; Solanaceae.
UUCAUGGAGAUAUCAACCCUAAUUCACAUAUAGCUGCCGUUCUACCACCCUCCCCAAAAAUAACACCCUUGACCUUCUUCUUCUUCACCCACAGCAGUCCCCGAUUUUGGAACCUAGCAAGACACCUCCCAAAACAAAAGGACCCUUCAUCCAAACCCCUCGUUGAGCAGAGAAGCGACGCAACUGAAGCAAAAAGGAAGAAAACAAAAUACUAGCCACCCUUCUUCAAACCCAUCAAUGGCUGCUUAAGAUCAACGACAC